AUCAAUUGGUCGCAGGUUCGAAUCCUGCACGACCCACCAAUUUAACAUCAAACUCAGAUGUUGAACGUGAAGGAUAACGUUGCGUCAGCAACGGCCCGUAGGGCGAGGCGAAGCCGAGUCAUCCUGCACGACCCACCA
This 138-nucleotide small RNA is filed under the name Salmonella enterica. RNAcentral's name for it is "partial RtT sRNA". It matches the Rfam family "RtT RNA", at positions 28 to 130 of the family's 130-position model. From Rfam's summary of the family: This family represents a bacterial cis-regulatory element known as RtT RNA. The exact function of RtT is unknown although it is thought that it may be involved in changing the cellular response in relation to amino acid starvation. RNAcentral also lists the same sequence under 3 other names. Lineage: Bacteria; Pseudomonadati; Pseudomonadota; Gammaproteobacteria; Enterobacterales; Enterobacteriaceae. The record is from RNAcentral.